This 4372-nucleotide small RNA is filed under the name Rattus norvegicus (Norway rat). Its description in RNAcentral is "uncharacterized LOC108351240". The record is from RNAcentral. Lineage: Eukaryota; Metazoa; Chordata; Mammalia; Rodentia; Muridae.
AGGGAAAAGAAGACACAGAUGGGCAAGCGCUUUUGUUUUUGGAAAUGUCUCUAAGCAGAAAAUAUAAACAGAAUACACAGAGGGUUCACAGGCCUGCAUAGUAAGGAAGUACGAUUUAGGAAGCGAAGCACUCUGCUGCCUCAGUGAGGAAUGGAAGCUUCCCAUAAUCCUUCGCUCAUAUACCCCUCCCCCAAGUACCCCCUCCUCCUCCCCAGCGUGAAGAGCGUGGUAGUCUCAUGCACUGUGUGUUAUCUGCAGUUAGGAGUCCAGAAAGACAAGCCUAAGUGGAUGAUGAGCCCCACGUUAAUGGAGCAAAUGUUCUAAAGUUACUUGUGUACAUCCCCAGGGUCAAAUUCAAUCCUCAGAAAUCCACGUGCAGUUUCCAUGGAAACACGUAUAAACACCAUGCAAGGGGAGAAUAGCUGCAGUCAGUCUUGUCCUCUGUAUUGACACAUGGCCUUUAUUCCUUUCUGGCUUUAUCUUUCGAAUGGCAAGUUUUGGCUUGGCUCUAUGUAUACAGUAGAGUUUCAUCCACUCACACAUGCCUUUAAGAGACACAGAGUCAAAGUGUUCAUUGUGACGAUCAGUAAAGAUGUCGAAAAAACUUCUGGCAAGAAGCAGCAAAGGAAAGAAGGUUGUGAGACACAUUUAACCUAUUGAGUAAUGAAAAGGAAACAGACUUAAAAAUAGAAUAUGAUAUAAACUCAAAAGCUCCAAGGAAAGUAAGUGGUUAAUAGGGAAGAAGUACUCAAUUAGUAAAGAAUAAAAUGUGUGUGUGUGUGUGUGUGUGUGUGUGUGUGUGUGUAAAGUCUAUGAGGUACACUGUGGACAAUGACCACAUACAGUCAAGAACAUGUGCAUGGAACAUUAACAGAGGAGUAGAAAUAAGUAAUACAGCAUUUGCUAGUUAGCAAGUUCAGUUUUUCAUUUCUCUGCAAGGGUACUUUUAUUUCCUUAAAACAAUAAAAGAGAAAAAUUACUUCUCAUUUUAUAAUAACUUUUAAUAAGUCAAUUUCUGUAAGUCUUAAUUAGCAUUCAACCCUAUUAUGUCAUAUGCUUUCCCCAGAUUAAAACAAGAUUAGAAAAUAUAAUUAUGCAAUGAGUCAAAAAUUUAGCUGCAAAGUUGUUACUGACAGUGUUAUAAAGACUCUAGAAAAAAAAUGAGAGUCAUGCCUAAGGAAUAAAAACUAAAAUUAAAAGUUGGCUCUGUUAGUCACUCAGUACAUAUGUGAAACUGACUGAAAAUCAGCCAUAUACAAUUAUACAUUCAAAGUUUACUUCAGUGUGCAUUUCUGAAUGCACUUCAUUUGUUUUCGUCAUGCACUCUGUCUUAUUUUGUGCCACUUGGGAAUCCUGGUGAAAAAUUUCAGUUAUUGUGACUCCGUCAACGAUAGAGAAAUGAGAAAUGUUCUAGGUCACUCUAACAAGACUAUAUGAUAAUCUUAGAGAUGCAGAUUUUUAAAAUAAUUUUAUAUUGGUCUUUUUGUAAUGGGGAUUAGAAAUCACCAUAUAGUUUUAAGUGCUGCCGAGAAGUAUAUGGCUUUAGCACAAUUAUAACCUUGUUCCUGAGAUCAUAAGGGUCCUAAACAUAGUGAUCCAUACAGUCGGGUCAGUCUGUAGACCAACCUAAAAUGAGUAGAACGUUGUCCAGGGCGCAGUCUUCUUACACUACUUGAUUCAACUUCAAAACCAGCACCCUGAGGUAAGAGCACUGUAUGCCUGUGCAUGACAAAUCUGAGAGCUUCACAGAUUCUAACAAAGUUCUAUGUAUCCUACAGAAAGUGUAAAGUAAAAUUGUGAUCACUUGUACUUGAAUAUUUUUGUUUGGUUUUAAAGAAAGGGUGGAUUUGUAACAAGUUCGGUAAAACCUCUAAGUUUCCUAAUCACAGAAGCUCCAAGCUAAGGACAUUUAUUGCUGAAACUGGGACCAGUAUGGAUCUGAGAUGGACGGUGGAACUCUGUGUCAAAUCCUUGUGUCUUUCACUAAGUCCUACUAAGGACUAUUAGUCCUUGUUGCCAGGAUGACUUGCAGAAGGUGACAGUUUGUUCAGCUGACUGUCACCAACCCAAAGCAGGAACUGGGGAUCAAGCCUUCAGAGGGGAACUGAAAACUACAUCAGUACCUUGAGCUGUGUCUGAAAGCAAGAGGUGGUUCACACAGAUGAGCUGGGGACAGGGGAGGUUCGAACUCAGCUGAAGCUACUUGCACUCUAAAUGUUCACACUGUGGUAGUCGUAGGGAGUGUUGUAAAUAUGACAUCUGCACGAGAGAGAAGGUGCAGUCCUCAUGAAGAGACAGCAACAUAGGCUUCUGAGUCAGCCAAGAAUCAACAAACUGACUUCAUGGGAACAAAAGAAAACCCCAGGUACUCCUAAUUGCCGCCUAAUUAGUAAUUCCUUCCUGUCAAGGCAGUCGAUUUGUUAAAAUGUUAUCACUACUGUGGCCUGAGGCAGAAAAGAUUCAAGAAUAUGUUUCACCUACUAAAGAAUGUACUACUUGUUCUACUUUGUAAAUAAAAAUUAGUAUAUAAUUUUCCUCUUUUCUUUUUCAGGACCAAAUCUAGAGUUAAACAGCAUCACCACUGUAAUACAGUUUAAUCUACCAAAUAAUCUGCAGGAUUCCAUGUACAAUCCAGACCUUCUGUCAGGCUCCAAGGACAGCAGCAUUGGAGCGAUGAAGUCCUGACCUGUGGAUAGAUCGCUAUUCCCUUGCCAUGAAGAGACACUCUGCUUUAGGGACUCACCUAGUACAAAAGGCCUCGGAAAGACACAAUGCGGCUGUUGCAAGAUCCUAACAUAUUUAGAUUCUCCUCACUGGUUUGCAUGUAGACACACAGCAACCUACCCACAGCCAUGGGGACAUUUAAUUCCUGAGAUGCAACUGAAGUACCUGAACCCUGAAUGCUCACGUGGCUGAAAGAAAGUGGAUUUCCCCAAGGAAUGUCCCAUCCCUGGAGAUGGCUGCCAUCAAAAGCAUCAUGUUCUGAGAAGGUAUAGGAAAGAGAUUAAGCUCCUAAGACAGGUGACGGUGUAGAGGAAGGAGUGGGGACAGGGGUGGAGGAAAGGUAAAAUGUCAGCCUUCUGAGAUUGAGACCCACAAACAUGAGAGGAGGAAAUGAGAGUCUCAAGUUUAAGCCCAUGGCUUGUAUCUAGUGGCCCUGAGCAAUGGAGGCUUUAAGGAGAAAGACAGGACACUCUGUUCAGCAUGGUGGUGUUUUUCACGUGUCAGACAUGCAUAACCAAGCCCAUGCCAAAAUAUAUUCAGUAGUGUCCUUAUCAUGCUGAAGGGAGCAGUUAAAAAAAUAAAGAAAGAAGGGAAGAAAGAAAAGAAAAGAAGAGAAGAGAAAAGAAAGGGAAAUGGUCACAUUGUAAGGUGUGGUAAAUACUUUGGAAGAUGUCACAGAGAAAUUUGAUUUCCCCAAUUUCCACUUAUUUUCUAAGCAUGACAACCAACUAUUUAGCUAAAAAAUUAUAGUUUACUUGCUUUUAAAAGCGUGUCUUUAAAAAUAAUACCACUAAAUAUCUGGACCCGAAUCACCUGAGUUUAAAUGCUGCAAACUAAGAGUAAUUGCAAAAGUUACAUAAUGUUUUGACUUUGAUUGACUCGAAAAUCGAAUGGAAAGAAUUACAGUUCCUCACCAAGAAGGAUGUCGCUAUGACAACAUGAAUUGGUGUAUACAAAGCACCUAGCAAGGUGCCUGGUACCUGGCAAGCUAGUAAUACUGUUUUAGUAUCUUGAAAUUAGUAUUUAUAAAACAUUAUGAUUUAUCAUAAAAGCAUAUGAAUUAUUAUAACUCUUGUAACUGUAUAAUCAACUAAGUGAAGUGCUGCUUAGCUGCUACCAUAUACUAUAUGUUGUCUGAUAUUCCUAUAUACAGUGUCUUGUCUGAUAUUCAAGAUCCUAAUGAUUAGCAAACCGAAUGUUAAUAUACCAUGCUACAUGAACAUUUGCUGAUUGAAUUUCUAUGGGAAACUUCUUUGUUUUGAUCUAUUUAUUUACAGUUUUUGAAUCUCUGUUGAAAAUUCAUAACUCCCCAUGUUCUUGAAAAUAUGUAUUAUAAUUUAAAAAAAAAGUAUUAGUUACACAUAGGAUUAUGUGAUCUGGUCAUUCCACUCACAGUUACAGUCCCCAAAGAACUGAAAGAGGUCUUGGCAGAUUUCUAUACCAAUGAUGUAACAUUUAUAAUAGCUCAGAGGUGGAAACACACAAAUGUACAUUGUAUAUACAUUGACACUGGGUAUGAACGGGUAGAAAAAAGUGCAGCAUCAACUUAUGACAAGACUUAAAAAGGAGUGAAAUUCUGACCCAUGCUACAAGAUAGACAAACACUGAAGCGCUUAUGCUAAGAGACCAUGAAAGGACAAACACUUUA